GAUGAAGAACGCAGCAAAACGCGAUAGCUAGUGUGAAUUGCAGAUUUUCGUGAAUCAUCGAGUCUUUGAACGCACAUUGCGCCCCCUGGUAUUCCGGGGGGCAUGCCUAUUCGAGCGUCGUGGUCACGCUUCAAGCCCGGCUUGAUGAUGGGGAACGCCCUCUCUCGGGGGGGGGCCUCCUUCAAAUGCAACUCCAGACGCCUCGUUGGCUGGGAGCGCAGCAGCAGUGCGCUUCCCCGAGGCGACCGGAUGCCCCUCGUGGGCUCGAGAUUGCAAGACCUCGAAUUAGGCAGGGAUACCCGCUGAACUUAAGCAUAUCAAUAAGCGGAGGA
RNAcentral lists this unclassified non-coding RNA (332 nucleotides) under soil metagenome. Its description in RNAcentral is "partial contains 5.8S ribosomal RNA, internal transcribed spacer 2, and large subunit ribosomal RNA". The stretch from base 1 to 120 matches the Rfam family "5.8S ribosomal RNA", at positions 35 to 154 of the family's 154-position model. The record is from RNAcentral.